Molecule: long non-coding RNA, 147 nt
Filed under: Phascolarctos cinereus (koala)
Lineage: Eukaryota; Metazoa; Chordata; Mammalia; Diprotodontia; Phascolarctidae
Description: lncRNA (ENSPCIG00000002826.2)
Source: RNAcentral
CAGAAGCCGGCGUUGAGCAUUUAGGCCUGUAGGUGGCAGCAUUGUCAGGUUUUGCAGCCUGGUAAGCCCGAUGCCCAUGAAUGUCACAGCUGUCAAACGUCUGUACACAAGAAGAUAAAAAAUGAAAUUAAUAAAAGGCAGAUCAAC